RNAcentral lists this ribosomal RNA (440 nucleotides) under uncultured bacterium. RNAcentral's name for it is "partial 16S ribosomal RNA". It matches the Rfam family "Bacterial small subunit ribosomal RNA", at positions 338 to 795 of the family's 1533-position model. The record is from RNAcentral.
CCUACGGGUGGCAGCAGUGGGGGAUAUUGCACAAUGGGCGAAACCCUGAUGCAGCGACGCCGCGUGGGUGAAGAAGCGCCUCGGCGCGUAAAGCCCUGUCAGCAGGGAAGAAAAUGACGGUACCUGAAGAAGAAGCGCCGGCUAACUACGUGCCAGCAGCCGCUGGAAUAGGUAGGGUGCACGCGUUAUCCGGGUUUACUGGGUGGAAAGGGGGCGCAGACGGCGAUGCAAGCUAGGAGGGAAAGCCCGGGACCCAACCCCGGGCCUGCUCUGGGAACUGCGUGCCGGGAGUGCGAGAGGGGAAGGCGGAAUGCCUGGUGUAGCGGUGAAAUGCGUAGAUAUCAGGCGGAACACCGGUGGCGAAGGCAGCCUGCUGGCCUGCAACUGACGUUGAGGCCCGAAAGCGUGGGGAGCAAACAGGAUUAGAUACCCGAGUAGUC